CCAGAGUCCAACACUAGCAGCCAUGGUCCAGCUUCAACACUGCCACGAAUGACCUCUCACUCCAACUCCAACACAGAACAAGAAGAUGGGGAACUGAAGAGGGACAGGAAAGUGCGCCCAUUUUCUAUGUUCGAGCCAACCGAGGUCCCGCCCGCCUCACUCCGCAAAAACCAGAGCAGUGAUGACCUGGUCAGAGAUGCACAGUCUGCUGCCAAGCCACCAGUUAAGGUGCCUCCUCCUGUCCCCACCAAACCUAAAGGCCCCUCUGUCGUUCCCUAUGGAAAAUCAGCUCUCAACACAGGCACCUUCCCUAAAGCCAAGCCCCAUAGCCAGCAGCCCCAG
This 342-nucleotide long non-coding RNA is filed under the name Sphaeramia orbicularis (orbiculate cardinalfish). Its description in RNAcentral is "lncRNA (ENSSORG00005019589.1)". Lineage: Eukaryota; Metazoa; Chordata; Actinopteri; Kurtiformes; Apogonidae. The record is from RNAcentral.